GACGAACGCUGGCGGCGUGCCUAAUACAUGCAAGUAGAACGCUGAAGAGAGGAGCUUACUCUUCUUGGAUGAGUUGCGAACGGGUGAGUAACGCGUAGGUAACCUGCCUUGUAGCGGGGGAUAACUAUUGGAAACGAUAGCUAAUACCGCAUAACAAUGGAUGACACAUGUCAUUUAUUUGAAAGGGGCAAUUGCCCCACUACAAGAUGGACCUGCGUUGUAUUAGCUAGUAGGUGAGGUAAUGGCUCACCUAGGCGACGAUACAUAGCCGACCUGAGAGGGUGAUCGGCCAAACUGGGACUGAGACACGGCCCAGACUCCUACGGGAGGCAGCAGUAGGGAAUCUUCGGCAAUGGGGGCAACCCUGACCGAGCAACGCCGCGUGAGUGAAGAAGGUUUUCGGAUCGUAAAGCUCUGUUGUAAGUCAAGAACGGGUGUGAGAGUGGAAAGUUCACACUGUGACGGUAGCUUACCAGAAAGGGACGGCUAACUACGUG
RNAcentral lists this ribosomal RNA (497 nucleotides) under uncultured bacterium. Its description in RNAcentral is "partial 16S ribosomal RNA". It matches the Rfam family "Bacterial small subunit ribosomal RNA", at positions 28 to 507 of the family's 1533-position model. The record is from RNAcentral.